RNAcentral lists this transfer RNA (73 nucleotides) under Candidatus Roizmanbacteria bacterium RIFOXYA1_FULL_37_12. RNAcentral's name for it is "tRNA-Gln". It matches the Rfam family "tRNA". From Rfam's summary of the family: Transfer RNA (tRNA) molecules are approximately 80 nucleotides in length. Their secondary structure includes four short double-helical elements and three loops (D, anti-codon, and T loops). Lineage: Bacteria; Candidatus Roizmaniibacteriota. The record is from RNAcentral. RNAcentral also lists the same sequence under 6 other names.
UGGGGAGUAGUGUAACGGUAACACGCCUGACUUUGGAUCAGCGCGAUUCAAGGUUCGAAUCCUUGCUCCCCAG